This 164-nucleotide ribosomal RNA is filed under the name uncultured bacterium. RNAcentral describes it as "partial 16S rRNA". It matches the Rfam family "Bacterial small subunit ribosomal RNA", at positions 355 to 511 of the family's 1533-position model. The record is from RNAcentral.
UAGGGAAUCUUCCACAAUGGACGAGAGUCUGAUGGAGCAACGCCGCGUGAGUGAAGAAGGUUUUCGGAUCGUAAAGCUCUGUUGUUGGUGAAGAAGGAUAGAGGCAGUAACUGGUCUUUAUUUGACGGUAAUCAACCAGAAAGUCACGGCUAACUACGUGCUAG